AGUGAACGCUGGCGGUAGGCCUAGCACAUGCAAGUCGAACGGCAGCACAGUAAGAGCUUGCUCUUACGGGUGGCGAGUGGCGGACGGGUGAGGAAUACAUCGGAAUCUACUUUUUCGUGGGGGAUAACGUAGGGAAACUUACGCUAAUACCGCAUACGACCUACGGGUGAAAGCAGGGGAUCUUCGGACCUUGCGCGGUUGAAUGAGCCGAUGUCGGAUUAGCUAGUUGGCGGGGUAAAGGCCCACCAAGGCGACGAUCCGUAGCUGGUCUGAGAGGAUGAUCAGCCACACUGGAACUGAGACACGGUCCAGACUCCUACGGGAGGCAGCAGUGGGGAAUAUUGGACAAUGGGCGCAAGCCUGAUCCAGCCACACCGCGUGGGUGAAGAAGGCCUUCGGGUUGUAAAGCCCUUUUGUUGGGAAAGAAAAGCAGCAGGUUAAUACCCCGCUGUUCUGACGGUACCCAAAGAAUAAGCACCGGCUAACUUCGUG
Molecule: ribosomal RNA, 492 nt
Filed under: uncultured bacterium
Lineage: Bacteria
Description: partial 16S ribosomal RNA
Rfam family: Bacterial small subunit ribosomal RNA
Source: RNAcentral